RNAcentral lists this transfer RNA (85 nucleotides) under uncultured Paraburkholderia sp. Its description in RNAcentral is "tRNA-Leu-CAA". It matches the Rfam family "tRNA". Rfam says of the family: Transfer RNA (tRNA) molecules are approximately 80 nucleotides in length. Their secondary structure includes four short double-helical elements and three loops (D, anti-codon, and T loops). Further hydrogen bonds mediate the characteristic L-shaped molecular structure. tRNAs have two regions of fundamental functional importance: the anti-codon, which is responsible for specific mRNA codon recognition, and the 3' end, to which the tRNAs corresponding amino acid is attached (by aminoacyl-tRNA synthetases). tRNAs cope with the degeneracy of the genetic code in two manners: having more than one tRNA (with a specific anti-codon) for a particular amino acid; and 'wobble' base-pairing, i.e. permitting non-standard base-pairing at the 3rd anti-codon position. Lineage: Bacteria; Pseudomonadati; Pseudomonadota; Betaproteobacteria; Burkholderiales; Burkholderiaceae. The record is from RNAcentral.
GCCCAGGUGGUGAAAUUGGUAGACGCAGGGGACUCAAAAUCCCCCGCCGCAAGGCGUGCCGGUUCGAUUCCGGCCUUGGGCACCA